UCCGCCUUGUAUAUAUAAGCAUGGAAUAAUAAUAUCGGAUCUUGGUUCUAUUUUGUUGGUUUCUAGAGCUAAGAUAAUGAUUAAUAGGGACAAUUGGGGGCAUUCGUAUUAACGCGUCAGAGGUGGAAUUCUUGGAUUGCGUUACGACGAACUACUGCGAAAGCAUUUGCCAAGGAUGUUUUCAUUGAUCAAGAACGAAAGUUAGGGGAUCGAAGACGAUUAGAUACCGUCCUAGUCUUUACCAUAAAUUAUGCCAACUAGAGAUUGGACCUCGUUUUUUUUAGACUGGAUGGGCCCCUUAUGAAGAAUCCAAGUCUUUGGAUUUCCGGGGGAGUAUGGGCCCCAGGGUUAAACUUAAAGGAAUUUAACGAAGGGCACCACCCAGAAUGGAACCCGCCGGUUAAUUUUACUCCACACCGGGAAACUUACCCAGGCCCGAACUGGGCGGGAAUGACCGAUUGAGAGCUUCUUCCUUGAUUCAUGGGUGGGGGUGCAUGGGCCUUCCUAAUUGGUGGAAUGGAUUGGCUGGGUAAUUUCCUUUACCAACCAAACCCUAACCUUGCUAAUAAUUUACAUGUAAAUUACGUGACGUGCUUCUCUUCUGAACUAUACUUUCUGUGUUAUAGAAAUGUGAGGCUAAAGCAAGACAAUGAUGCCCAUACACGUACAGGUCCGGAGCCGCGCUCCCAUGAUACUGAUACCCUCAACAACUUUGACACAAUGGCCUCGGGGGAUCGUUUAAUCUUUUUACACGGCUGCGGAUUGAGCUUUAGAUAUUUGCAUUUUUGAACCUUGAAUCCGAAUACCCAUAAUCCCCCACCUGUGCUGAUUACUGUCUCUGCUCCUUGUCAUUUGAAAAAUUG
This 863-nucleotide ribosomal RNA is filed under the name uncultured Syndiniales. Its description in RNAcentral is "bacterial SSU rRNA". It matches the Rfam family "Eukaryotic small subunit ribosomal RNA", at positions 789 to 1831 of the family's 1831-position model. The record is from RNAcentral. Lineage: Eukaryota; Dinophyceae; Syndiniales.